AUUGAACGCUGGCGGCAUGCUUUACACAUGCAAGUCGAACGGCAGCGCGGGCUUCGGCCUGGCGGCGAGUGGCGAACGGGUGAGUAAUACAUCGGAACGUGCCCAGUAGUGGGGGAUAGCUCGGCGAAAGCCGGAUUAAUACCGCAUACGACCUGAGGGUGAAAGCGGGGGAUCUUCGGACCUCGCGCUAUUGGAGCGGCCGAUGGCAGAUUAGCUAGUUGGUGGGGUAAAGGCCUACCAAGGCGACGAUCUGUAGCUGGUCUGAGAGGACGACCAGCCACACUGGGACUGAGACACGGCCCAGACUCCUACGGGAGGCAGCAGUGGGGAAUUUUGGACAAUGGGCGAAAGCCUGAUCCAGCAAUGCCGCGUGUGUUAUGAAGGCCUUCGGGUUGUAAAGCACUUUUGGCGGGAACGAAAAGGACUGUGCCAAUACCACGGUUCGAUGACGGUACCCGCAGAAUAAGCACCGGCUAACUACGUG
Molecule: ribosomal RNA, 484 nt
Filed under: uncultured bacterium
Lineage: Bacteria
Description: partial 16S ribosomal RNA
Rfam family: Bacterial small subunit ribosomal RNA
Source: RNAcentral